This 540-nucleotide long non-coding RNA is filed under the name Ananas comosus (pineapple). Its description in RNAcentral is "long non-coding RNA (ACOM_LNC037841)". Lineage: Eukaryota; Viridiplantae; Streptophyta; Magnoliopsida; Poales; Bromeliaceae. The record is from RNAcentral.
UUAUUCUUAAAUUUUUUUAAAAAAUUUAGUAUGAAAUUUAAAAAUAUAAACAAUAAAUAUUUUUAUUUAAAUUAAUAUUUUGAUUAAAAUAUUAAAAAAUUAUAAAAAUAAUUAUACUAAAUAAAAUAUUUAAUUUUUUUAAAAAAUAAAUAAAUUUGUAUUAUUUAUUUAAAAAAUAAUUUCUAAACUUCAACUCUUUUUCUCUCUCUAAAUUAAGCUAUUUCUCCCUCUCUUUUUCUAAAAUCUCAACCCUCUCGUUCUCUCUAAUCUUGACUCGAUCUCUUCCUAUUUUUUUAAUUAUACUUUCUCUUUCUAACCUAUAUUAUCUCUUUUUUUUAAAAAAAAAGAUAUUAAAAUUUUUUAUAGUACUAUUUAAAAUUAAUUAAAAAAUAAAUUAAUUGUAUAUUUUUCGUAAUCUUAAAUAACAUGACUAAAUAAUAUGACCGUACGAAUAAAAAUAAAAUUUUCGAAUAUUUUUUUACUCCUAAUAAUCUUUCAUAAUAUAAACCAAACGCGCCCUUGAUAGUCAUCUGUCACUUA